GUCGGGCUAGCUACCACAGAAUCCCUGGUAUGCCAAGCCUAACUCUGUUUAGUCAUUCUAUUCAGCAUAUCUGAAGUAUCUUGAAAAGAAAGGUCAAUGAACGAACCACCUGCAACAUUAUCUAUAAUUGGCUUUGUCACAGAGUUAAAAGCACUGUACAAAGUCUCCAUCAAGUGCAAGUCUAUCAUGUUAUGGUUCGAACAUUGUGCCAUCUUCUUCUUGAAUCUCUCCCAA
This 234-nucleotide long non-coding RNA is filed under the name Capsicum annuum. RNAcentral describes it as "long non-coding RNA (CANN_LNC014709)". The record is from RNAcentral. Lineage: Eukaryota; Viridiplantae; Streptophyta; Magnoliopsida; Solanales; Solanaceae.